UCGGGGCUCUUUGGGCAAUGAAGAAAAAACAAUUAUAUAAUCAUAAAGCAUCAAAGAGUCCUAUCAAAAUGAAAAAAUACUGGUUUUCUAAACGAAAACUGUCUGGGUGACGAAAGCUAAGCCGUCGUGACGGCAGAGAAGCCACUGAAAUAAACAGACAGAUUGAACCAUUCACUCUCCUGAUUUCAAAACACUCUCGAUUACAAGCUAAUAUAAGUGAAAAGUGAAGAGAGCGUUACGUCAAUUCGACUCUAUUUCUGUGGGUUAUUUAAAUCAUGUUCUAGAUUGUUCUACCUUGCUGUCUGUCGAAGGUUUAUGUAACCUAACAUUUCAGCCAAAAGUAAUCACUUCGGGAUAGUAUUAAACCCAAAACAAUACUGCUCUGCUUGGAUUAUACUGGUAAUCGAUGAAAAAGUGUCAGGAACAUCAUAAACUCUUUUUCCACGUCUUAUGUGGUUUGCUAUAAAGAUUUACUAAAUGUAGACGAGUUUUUCCCACAGCGUCUUACUCUUAUGAACCUCAUUAUAAUUUUCAGUCACGACCGACCAACCUUUUUGUAUUUGAUUCUGAUGGUCUACGUGCAAAAUACGGUAAAAUGUAGUCUGAGCUAGAGAGCAAUCAGCAAUCUAAUAAAUAAAAGUUUUACUUCUUUUCUUCUAUGCUUAAUUCCUUACAGCUAGCAAUAAAUGCGAAUGUAUGUAGUGACGACUGUAGCGUCGUUUUGUAUUCUCCGGGUUAAAACGUAAUAAACAAAUUGCUGAAAUUGUUGACUACCAGCCAGUAUUUAUUGUCGUCAUACUGCGUUCUCAAUACCCUGCCCACGAACUUGCACAACAGAACGGAAUCUUGCUCUAGGCGAACGUGAUUUUUCCAAGGCCUACUCAAAGGCCUGUAAACUUGAAUAUAUUUAAUGGCGGCGUUAGCUGUGGCCUGCGAGAGCCAAUCAGAGCAAAAAAUGGACUACGACUGCGCUAUCUGGCGCUCGCUACUGCUACUGCAUCGAAAAUCUAAGUGCUAAUUCAAGUACCAAAAAAUGUACCUUUACUAACAUGAUUACAGAUUUGUCAAAUACCUUUAACAUCUUUUUACAAAUUUCCAACAAUACUUAGUUGCCAUCAAGCUAUCCGCUAUGUUCCUUGUUCCAAGAAGCACGAAAAUAUUUACUCUUUCUAAGAGUUACCUAUCUAAAAAAAGUCAACAGAUGCAAAUUUCCUUAAUGGAAGAGUCUUUUUGUGUAGUCCUAUGUUCUAUAACAGUGUAGCUAAUAUAAAUAUUUGUCAUAGAAUUGCAUAUAAAAGCCAUAUAUAAACCAAAAUUACUGUUGAUAGGUCAUUUCAAGAUUGCUUACAUGAAGCUGGCAUGUGCACAUCAGCACGGUGAUCAGAUUUUGUCCUCUAUCUAUUUUUGCACACUGUAGGGCUGCAGAUAGGAAUUGCACCUAAAGAUAUGAAAACAUUGUCUGACAGCAAAAAAAAAACUGAAAUAAAUAACAUGCAAAUAUACUGUACUGUACAUUCAAAUUACGUCGUGUGAAAAUCAAUCUUUCAAACAGUCGUGUGUCUAGUGUCCCUCAUGUUGGUACGAAAAAAAGGCAAAUUUCAAUGUAUUAACGAGUAGCGAAAAGAAUGUUUAAAACGGAAACGGAACGCACUGAACACGUCUUGAAUCUCUCGACUCACUAUUGGAAACGAUGAAAUUGAUAAAAACUUUAAAGGAAAAUUUGAAUCGAUAGUACUUCUGAUUUGUCCUAUUCGUCGCAAAAUAAAUUUAUUGUCCUUCCUGGG
RNAcentral lists this long non-coding RNA (1784 nucleotides) under Daphnia magna. RNAcentral describes it as "uncharacterized LOC123475194". The record is from RNAcentral. Lineage: Eukaryota; Metazoa; Arthropoda; Branchiopoda; Diplostraca; Daphniidae.